AAGAGAGGCUAGGAGCACUAAGGACUGCUAAUCCUUUAGUCCCAUGGUUCGAUCCCAUGGCUCACUUA
RNAcentral lists this transfer RNA (68 nucleotides) under Pantodon buchholzi (freshwater butterflyfish). Its description in RNAcentral is "tRNA-Ser (AGY)". Lineage: Eukaryota; Metazoa; Chordata; Actinopteri; Osteoglossiformes; Pantodontidae. The record is from RNAcentral.